CAGCAGCCGCGGGAAUACGUAGGGUGCGAGCGUUAAUCGGAAUUACUGGGCGUAAAGCGUGCGCAGGCGGUUAUAUAAGACAGAUGUGAAAUCCCCGGGCUCAACCUGGGACCUGCGUUUGUGACUGUAUAGCUAGAGUACGGUAGAGGGGGAUGGAAUUCCGCGUGUAGCAGUGAAAUGCGUAGAUAUGCGGAGGAACACCGAUGGCGGAGGCAAUCCCCUGGACCUGUACUGACGCUCAUGCACGAAAGCGUGGGGAGCAAACAGGAUUAGAUACCCCCGUAGUCCCUGUCUCUUAUAC
This 301-nucleotide ribosomal RNA is filed under the name uncultured bacterium. RNAcentral describes it as "partial 16S ribosomal RNA". It matches the Rfam family "Bacterial small subunit ribosomal RNA", at positions 509 to 807 of the family's 1533-position model. The record is from RNAcentral.